UCGUUAUCGCGGUCGAAUAAAGCUGUGAUUCUUCCUUUCCCAUAGGAAUAUUCUAAUUGUAAAAUAUAUAAUCUUGCAAGCGUGUGUAGUAAAAGAACCGUCUCGGCGUGCCCCAUAAGUAACCCCGUAAAACUUUAUCAUGCUUAACUUUUUUAUUAAAUACGGUUAUAUAUAAAAAAAAAAGAAAACAAAAACCUAAACCCUUGAGAGCACAGGAGAGCUAACUAAGGGCCGAGCCUCAUUAAAACCUUCCUACGGAAAACCCCAUGGGAAAAACCGUAAGAAGGAAAAAGAGUACCCGUCUAGACAAAAGCAAAGAUCGAAGAGCGGGAGGGAAGAUCUCGGGAACUCCGGCCUAACCAUCGUCCCCAGACCAACCCG
Molecule: long non-coding RNA, 381 nt
Filed under: Salvia miltiorrhiza (redroot sage)
Lineage: Eukaryota; Viridiplantae; Streptophyta; Magnoliopsida; Lamiales; Lamiaceae
Description: long non-coding RNA (SMIL_LNC013411)
Source: RNAcentral